AAGUAAAAGUCGUAACAAGGUUUCCGUAGGUGAGUUGGCGGCGAUUUCCUUCCACAUUCUUGUACACUAUUCCAGGUCCAAACUCCAUGCUAACUAUCUAUUUCUAGGUGAACCUGCGGAAGGAUCAUUACCGAGCGUUCGGGUCCCUUACGGGGCCCAACCUCCAACCCUUUGUGUACCUGUCCCAGUUGCUUCGGCGGUCCCGACCGGGCCCACGGUCCCGUCCGCGGGAACGACCCGGCCGCCCGUCGAAGGUCCAUCUCAACUCUGUUAUUGUUCAAUUGCAGUCUGAGCGUCUAGUGGAAAUUAAACAAAACUUUCAACAACGGAUCUCUUGGUUCUGGCAUCGAUGAAGAACGCAGCAAAAUGCGAUAAGUAAUGUGAAUUGCAGAAUUCAGUGAAUCAUCGAAUCUUUGAACGCACAUUGCGCCCCUUGGUAUUCCGGGGGGCAUGCCUGUUCGAGCGUCAUUAACACCCCUCAAGCCUGGCUUGUCCAUGGCCUCACGUCGUCCCGGGUCCCGGGACCGACGGGGCUGAAAAGCAGUGACGGUCGGGUCCGACUCCAAGUGCAGUACGAUUACCAAAAUCACCGCUUUCGAGUUCGGGCCGCCAGACCUGUCCUUUACGAGGUCGCCCCUUCGGGUCCUUUAUUUUUCAAUGUUGACCUCGGAUCAGGUAGGAAUACCCGCUGAACUUAAGCAU
Molecule: ribosomal RNA, 702 nt
Filed under: Chaenothecopsis sp. Tuovila 09-052
Lineage: Eukaryota; Fungi; Ascomycota; Eurotiomycetes; Mycocaliciales; Mycocaliciaceae
Description: eukaryotic LSU rRNA
Rfam family: 5.8S ribosomal RNA (bases 315-468)
Source: RNAcentral